GUGAUGGUAUCAGGAAGUAAAGCUUCUCUACCUGCAGAAGAUUACUGGCAUUCUAAGUUGCCUAACACUCCAAUACCUCAAGAACUCCUAAAACUCUUGCACCCUGCAGGUUCCUGUCAACCUCUAACACCUUUUAUUUUUUAUUUAUUAUUAUCAUUGAAAUUAGAAUUAUUAUUUAACUAAAGAUUAUUUAUUAACUAAUAUAUUAAUAUAAAUUAGAAUACUAAUAAUUAACACAUUAUCAGUUAAAAUAAAAGUAAGAAUUAUUAAGAUUACCCAUCAACAAUAUUAACGUGGCAAGAUCUUUUUAAUACAAAUUAGAAAUUUUUAUGGAAUAAUAUUUCAUUUACUGUAUAGAAAACAUAAUAAAUAUUAAAAUAUGGUCAAUAAAUUAACAACUAAAGACAUAAUUAUUGGGUUU
Molecule: long non-coding RNA, 421 nt
Filed under: Ricinus communis (castor bean)
Lineage: Eukaryota; Viridiplantae; Streptophyta; Magnoliopsida; Malpighiales; Euphorbiaceae
Description: long non-coding RNA (RCOM_LNC003262)
Source: RNAcentral